RNAcentral lists this ribosomal RNA (871 nucleotides) under uncultured bacterium. RNAcentral's name for it is "bacterial SSU rRNA". It matches the Rfam family "Bacterial small subunit ribosomal RNA", at positions 8 to 916 of the family's 1533-position model. The record is from RNAcentral.
AGAGUUUGAUCCUGGCUCAGGAUUAACGCUGGCGGCAUGCCUAAUGCAUGCAAGUAGAACGAGCACUGAUAGCAAUAUCAGCGCGAGUUGCGAACGGCUGAGUAAUGGAUAGGAAUCUCCCCGAUGGUGUGGAAUACCUCAUCGAAAGAUGAGCUAAUACCGCAUGACCCCGCAAGGGAAAAGCGCUUAACUGCGCGCCGACGGAUGAGCCUAUCUCCCAUCAGGCAGUUGGUAGGGUAAUGGCCUACCAAACCUAUGACGGGUACCCGCCCUGAGAGGGGAAACGGGCAGAAUGGGACUGAGACACGGCCCAUACACCUACGGGCGGCAGCAACAGGGAAUCGUGCGCAAUGGACGAAAGUCUGACGCCGCAAUGCCGCGUGGAGGAUGAAGGCCUUAGGGUCGUAAACUCCUUUUGCCAAUGAGGAGAUGCAUUGGAGAAUAAGUGACUGCUAACUCUGUGCCAGCAGCCGCGGUAAUACAGAGGUCACAAGCGUUAUCCGGAUUUAUUGGGCGUAAAGCGUUUCGUAGGUGGGUUUAUAAGUUAUUUUUCAAAUACCGAGGCUCAACCUCGGGAAGGGAGAUAAUACUGUAAGUCUUGAUUUUUGGUGGGGUAUCUGGAACUGAUAGUGUAGUAGUGAAAUACGUUGAUAUUAUCAGGAACUCCAAGGGCGAAGGCAGGAUACUAACCAAUUAAUGACACUGAGGAACGACAGCUAGGGGAGCGAAAGGGAUUAGAGACCCCUGUAGUCCUAGCCGUAAACUAUGCUCGCUAGGGAUUGGGCCGUAAGGUUUAGACCCGUAAGCUAACGCGUUAAGCGAGCCGCCUGGGGAGUACGACCGCAAGGUUAAAACUCAAAGGAAUUGACGG